UACGAAGGUGGCUAGCGUUGCUCGGAAUCACUGGGCGUAAAGCGCACGUAGGCGGCUUCUUAAGCCAGGGGUGAAAUCCUGGGGCUCAACCCCAGAACUGCCCUGGAUACUGAGGAGCUUGAGUCCGGGAGAGGUGAGGGGAAAUCCGAGUGUAGAGGUGAAAUUCGUAGAUAUUCGGAAGAACAACAGUGGCGAAGGCGGCUCACUGGCCCGGUACUGACGCUGAGGUGCGAAAGCGUGGGAGCAAACAGG
Molecule: ribosomal RNA, 252 nt
Filed under: uncultured bacterium
Lineage: Bacteria
Description: partial 16S ribosomal RNA
Rfam family: Bacterial small subunit ribosomal RNA
Source: RNAcentral